Long non-coding RNA from Athalia rosae (coleseed sawfly), 691 nucleotides. RefSeq lists it as uncharacterized. The record is from RefSeq and is a predicted model, not a curated record. The transcript is spliced from 3 exons. NCBI's taxonomy places the organism in Eukaryota, Metazoa, Arthropoda, Insecta, Hymenoptera, Athaliidae.
CUGAGAUCAAAAUACAUAAGGAUAGCAUGACAAACCCUACCAAAAAAAAUCUGGAUCUUCAUCUCAGAUUUUGAGAAAAUUCCAAGGCUAUAGGCUUCCUGUUUUUUUCGGCAAAAAAGUGAAGCAUUUGCCAGAAUAAAUUCGGGACGCUUUUUCUAUGUAAAAAAGCGUAUCGAACGAGAAGCCGUCAAUAAAAUUGAGCUGGCGUAAGAUUCCAUCGAGAUUCGGAUUCCUGAGAUCAAAAUACAUAAGGAUAGCAUGACAAACCCUACCAAAAAAAAUCUGGAUCUUCAUCUCAGAUUUUGAGAAAAUUCCAAGGCUAUAGGCUUCCUGUUUUUUUCGGCAAAAAAGUAAAGCAUUUGCUAGAAUAAUUCUAGGACGCUUUUCCUACGUGAAAGAGCGUAUCGAACAAGAGGCCGUCAAUGAAAUUGAGCUGGCGUAAGAUUCCAUCGAGAUUCGGAUUCCUGAGAUCAAAAUACAUCGGAAUCACAUAGAAAUUCUCAUGAAUAAAAUUCUCUCUAGAUACUCCGGAAAGAUGUUCCUAGACCUGGUGCCUCAUCAUGUCCAUGCCUUCAUUUCUGUGUAAUAAAUCAUACUUUUACAGGGUAUAUUAAAGACAUAAGCUAGUUUCAUGCUGGCCUGAUAUUAUGCAAUCAUAUGUAUUCAAUCCCACUCCUAUCAAUACAUUCAC